UCGACUCCAUGAAGUCGGAAUCGCUAGUAAUCGUAGAUCAGAAUGCUACGGUGAAUACGUUCCCGGGCCUUGUACACACCGCCCGUCACACCAUGGGAGUGGGUUGCAAAAGAAGUAGGUAGCUUAACCUCCGGGAGGGCGCUUACCACUUUGUGAUUCAUGACUGGGGUGAAGUCGUAACAAGGUAACCGUAGGGGAACCUGCGGUUGGAUCACCUCCUUACCUAGUUGAUACUGAAUGUGAGUGUUCACACAGAUUGUCUGAUAGAAAAUGAGCAGAGAGCGUCUGCGAAGCUGACUAAUGUCCCCUUCGUCUAGAGGCCCAGGACACCGCC
This 334-nucleotide ribosomal RNA is filed under the name Morganella morganii IS15. Its description in RNAcentral is "Small Subunit Ribosomal RNA; ssuRNA; SSU rRNA". The stretch from base 1 to 222 matches the Rfam family "Bacterial small subunit ribosomal RNA", at positions 1312 to 1533 of the family's 1533-position model. Lineage: Bacteria; Pseudomonadati; Pseudomonadota; Gammaproteobacteria; Enterobacterales; Morganellaceae. The record is from RNAcentral.